This 211-nucleotide ribosomal RNA is filed under the name uncultured bacterium. RNAcentral's name for it is "partial 16S ribosomal RNA". It matches the Rfam family "Bacterial small subunit ribosomal RNA", at positions 524 to 734 of the family's 1533-position model. The record is from RNAcentral.
UACGUAGGGUGCGAGCGUUAAUCGGAAUUACUGGGCGUAAAGCGUGCGCAGGCGGUUUUGUAAGUCAGAUGUGAAAUCCCCGGGCUUAACCUGGGAACUGCGUUUGAAACUACAAGGCUAGAGUGUGGCAGAGGGGGGUGGAAUUCCACGUGUAGCAGUGAAAUGCGUAGAGAUGUGGAGGAAUACCGAUGGCGAAGGCAGCCCCCUGGGC